Molecule: ribosomal RNA, 253 nt
Filed under: uncultured bacterium
Lineage: Bacteria
Description: partial 16S ribosomal RNA
Rfam family: Bacterial small subunit ribosomal RNA
Source: RNAcentral
UACGUAGGGUGCAAGCGUUGUCCGGAAUUAUUGGGCGUAAAGAGCUCGUAGGCGGUCUGUCGCGUCUGCUGUGAAAACUCAGGGCUUAACCCUGAGCUUGCAGUGGGUACGGGCAGACUAGAGUGCGGUAGGGGAGACUGGAAUUCCUGGUGUAGCGGUGAAAUGCGCAGAUAUCAGGAGGAACACCGGUGGCGAAGGCGGCAUCCUGGACCGGUAUUGACGCUGAUGCGCGAAAGCCAGGGGAGCAAACGGG